RNAcentral lists this ribosomal RNA (492 nucleotides) under uncultured bacterium. Its description in RNAcentral is "partial 16S ribosomal RNA". It matches the Rfam family "Bacterial small subunit ribosomal RNA", at positions 29 to 507 of the family's 1533-position model. The record is from RNAcentral.
AGUGAACGCUGGCGGUAGGCUUAACACAUGCAAGUCGAGCGGCAGCACAGUAAGAGCUUGCUCUUACGCGUAGCGAGUAGCAGACGGGUGAGAAAUACAUCGGAAUCUACUUUUUCGUGGGGGAUACCGUAGGGAAACUUACGCUAAUACCGCAUACGACCUACGGGUGAAAGCAGGGGUUCUUCGCACCUUGCGCGAUUGAAUGAGACGAUGUCGGAUUAGCUAGUUGGCGGGGUAAAGGCCAACCAAGGCGACUAUCCGUAGCUGGACAGCGAGGAUGAUCAGCGACCCUGGAACUCAGACACGGACCCGACGCCUACGGGACGCAGCAGAGUGCAACAUUAGACAGUGGGCGCAAGCCUUGUCCAGCCAUCCCGCGUGGGUGACGAAGGCCUUCGGUUUGUAAAGCCCUUUUGUUGGGAAAGAAAAGCAGCAGGUUAAGACGCCGCUGUUCUGACGGUACCCGAAGAAUAAGCACCGGCUAACUUCGUG